Molecule: unclassified non-coding RNA, 283 nt
Filed under: uncultured Glomus
Lineage: Eukaryota; Fungi; Glomeromycota; Glomeromycetes; Glomerales; Glomeraceae
Description: sequence contains 18S rRNA gene
Rfam family: Eukaryotic small subunit ribosomal RNA
Source: RNAcentral
AGCAGCCGCGGUAAUUCCAGCUCCAAUAGCGCAUAUUAAAGUUGUUGCAGUUAAAAAGCUCGUAGUUGAACUUCGGGGUCUACCCAUUGGUCAGGCUUAAUUGUCUGCACUGGUGAGAUGGAUCUCUACCUUCUGAGGAACUUUCAUGCCAUUUAUUUGGUGUGAUGGGAAAUCAGGACUGUUACUUUGAAAAAUUAGAGUGUUUAAAGCAGACUAUCGUCUGAAUACAUUAGCAUGGAAUAAUGAAAUAGGACGGACUGAUUCUAUUCGUGGUUCUAGGAUC